RNAcentral lists this ribosomal RNA (429 nucleotides) under bacterium. RNAcentral describes it as "partial 16S ribosomal RNA". It matches the Rfam family "Bacterial small subunit ribosomal RNA", at positions 355 to 776 of the family's 1533-position model. The record is from RNAcentral.
UAGGGAAUCUUCCACAAUGGACGCAAGUCUGAUGGAGCAACGCCGCGUGAGUGAAGAAGGUUUUCGGAUCGUAAAGCUCUGUUGUUGGUGAAGAAGGAUAGAGGUAGUAACUGGCCUUUAUUUGACGGUAAUCAACCAGAAAGUCACGGCUAACUACGUGCCAGCAGCCGCGGUAAUACGUAGGUGGCAAGCGUUGUCCGGAUUUAUUGGGCGUAAAGCGAGCGCAGGCGGAAGAAUAAGUCUGAUGUGAAAGCCCUCGGCUUAACCGUGGAACUGCAUCGGAAACUGUUUUUCUUGAGUGCAGAAGAGGAGAGUGGAAUUCCAUGUGUAGCGGUGGAAUGCGCAGAUAUAUGGAAGAAAACAAGUGGCGAAGGCGACUCUCUGGUCUGCAACUGACGCUGAGGCUCGAAAGCAUGGGUAGCGAACAGG